Long non-coding RNA from Capra hircus (goat), 1662 nucleotides. The record is from Ensembl. Lineage: Eukaryota; Metazoa; Chordata; Mammalia; Artiodactyla; Bovidae.
AGGGGAGGAGGGAAGGGGAGGGGAGGAGGGGGAGCAGGAAGGGGAGUGGGGAGCAGGGAGGGGAGGAGGGGGAGGGGAGAGGGGCAGGAGUGGGGAGGGGAGGAAGGGCGCAGCUGCUGCCCUUCGGGCCAAGGACGGCUGCAGUAGCAGACUUUGGGAUGUCAUGUUGCCCAGUCCUGUCUGCUGCUGGAAUAGUCCCUGUGGGGUAGACAGAAUAAAGCCCCUCCCUAAAGGGGCCCACAUCCCAUCCCCAGAACCUGUGGACGUAGCUGUCCCCCUGCCUGGGUGGCAAGACAAAAGACCCGGAGGCGCAGAGUGGCCCCUAACACAGCUGGAUGUCUGCGCUCAGCGCAUGUCUGCCUGCAGGACUUCUCAGAGCCUUUCUGAGGCCAGGGCCGGCGUGCACCGUGGCUCCCAGAACCCAGCCUCUGCUCACCCACACCUCACCACCCUGGCACACACAGGCUCACGGCAUCUGCGUGGAGAGCUUAGAGGAGAGGGUGAACGGAAGGGAGGCCCAUGAAGCAGAACCUGGUGUGAAAUGCCUAUGGUGGGGGGGAGGACCAUGAGGUCACCUGGUGCCAGACCUCAAUCACCAGACCCUCAAAUGUCCACAUAUGCACAGGCCUAUGCGCCCACACACACAUGCACGCACAUGAGCACACACGCACAGCAAAGCAAAUGUGCGCACAUUACAAUAACGGCAGUGGGAAAACCGCCCCGACAGCUCGUAAAGAAAGUGAUAUUCUACUGCUGUGACGUCAGCAGAGAGCAGUUUGUUUCCAGGGACAUCCUCCCCCCAGGAAUGGUGACAGCCUCACCGUCAUGGAGACGCAGGGUGCUUCGGGGACCUGGCCACGGCACCGUCGCAGGUCCUCAAAGUGUGUGUUCCAGAGGUGACAAGGGCUUCUCCACCCACAGAAGCCUCCCCCUGGGGAGGACUCACACAGACCCAUCCUAGAAGAAAAUGGGCUAUCAGGGCCUGAGCUGCUGUGGACACACAGAGUGGGUCGGGCAGGAAUGCCCUGGUCCAGCUCUCUGCCGAGGAAGCCCUUCUCACUGCAGUUGACACCUCCCUCCUGCUUCUGAGCCAAGCAGAGUUUCCCAUCCUCCACAUGACAGAGGAGCCGGCUUCAGACCUACCAGGUGUGGGAAUUGAUAGAAACAGGCAUUUAGACCACUGACUUGCAAACCCUUUUAGCCCCCAAAUCGUUUCCCCUUGAUAAUGUUGGACAAAGGGACAGAAUGUCCGUCAGGUGCAUGAGUGUCACUACCUGUGCACAGGCUCCAGUCCGCGUUAGGUGCCUGGACACUCCCUCCCCACUGUCCCUUUCUGCCACUCUGGACAAACACAGGGUGAUGGCUGGGGCACACCUGUCCCCUGCCCCUCCCUUCUCCAGGGCUCAGAGAACUUCUCCUCCCCAGGUAGACCACAGGGCUCUGGCGCUGUCCUGGAGAGGUCCGGGGAUGUCAUUGCUCAGCGCAUGCAGGCAGGGCCUCCCCAGGGGUCCUGAGAACAUCCACAGAGCCCCUAGCUCCCCAUUCACACCAGAUCGGCUCACUAAGGCUUCUGGGGGAGGGAUUACCUCCUGCCACUAGCUGCCCAUCCCCAGAACCCUGAGACAAUAGGUGUCUGGGAGUGUUGACCCAAGAAGAUCUCAG